CGUAUCACCCAAGACAACUUUACGGAGUUGACGAUUGACGGAGCGAAGCGACGUCAAAGCGUUCAUUAAAGUCGAGUUGGCUUAGGGAUACGUUCGUUGGGUAGGGGAGCGUUCUGUAAGCCUGUGAAGGUGUGUCGUGAGGCAUGCUGGAGGUAUCAGAAGUGCGAAUGCUGACAUAAGUAACGAUAAAGCGGGUGAAAAGCCCGCUCGCCGGAAGACCAAGGGUUCCUGUCCAACGUUAAUCGGGGCAGGGUGAGUCGACCCCUAAGGCGAGGCCGAAAGGCGUAGUCGAUGGGAAACGGGUUAAUAUUCCCGUACUUGGUGUUACUGCGAAGGGGGGACGGAGAAGGCUAUGUUGGCCGGGCGACGGUUGUCCCGGUUUAAGCGUGUAGGUGUGUGUUCCAGGUAAAUCCGGUUCACUUUAACACUGAGGCGUGACGACGAGGCACUACGGUGCUGAAGCAACAAAUGCCCUGCUUCCAGGAAAAGCCUCUAAGCAUCAGGUAACACGAAAUCGUACCCCAAACCGACACAGGUGGUCAGG
Molecule: ribosomal RNA, 544 nt
Filed under: Salmonella enterica
Lineage: Bacteria; Pseudomonadati; Pseudomonadota; Gammaproteobacteria; Enterobacterales; Enterobacteriaceae
Also listed under: 1 other name
Description: partial 23S ribosomal RNA
Rfam family: Bacterial large subunit ribosomal RNA
Source: RNAcentral